This 41-nucleotide transfer RNA is filed under the name Rubus sanctus. RNAcentral's name for it is "partial tRNA-Phe". Lineage: Eukaryota; Viridiplantae; Streptophyta; Magnoliopsida; Rosales; Rosaceae. RNAcentral also lists the same sequence under 1 other name. The record is from RNAcentral.
UCGGGAUAGCUCAGCUGGUAGAGCAGAGGACUGAAAAUCCU